GUGUCAGCCGCCGCGGUAAUACGUAGGGGGCGAGCGUUGUCCGGAUUCAUUGGGCGUAAAGCGCUUUAAGGCGGUUCGCUAAGUCGGGUGUGAAACCUCCAGGCUCAACCUGGAGACGCCACUCGAUACUGGCGUGACUAGAGUUCGGUAGGGGACCACGGAAUUCCUGGUGUAGCGGUGAAAUGCGCAGAUAUCAGGAGGAACACCAGUGGCGAAGGCGGUGGUCUGGGCCGAUACUGACGCUGUAGAGCGAAAGCGUGGGGAGCGAACAGGAUUAGAAACCCGCGUAGUCC
RNAcentral lists this ribosomal RNA (293 nucleotides) under uncultured bacterium. RNAcentral's name for it is "partial 16S ribosomal RNA". It matches the Rfam family "Bacterial small subunit ribosomal RNA", at positions 505 to 796 of the family's 1533-position model. The record is from RNAcentral.